UUAUCAGUUAAUAAGGUUCAACACAAUUCAACCAGAUAAUGUCACAUACCAUUUAUCAAAUAUAUGCGCAUUUACCCUAAGGUAUCUAAUGCCAAUUAAUUCACUGUCAUGCCAUCCCUAGACAUAACUACAUGCAUGUGGUACCAAAGUGUCUCACCAACGGUGGACCAAGAACAGUUUUAUAUCAUGCUGGAUAUGUCGGAACUUACCGAACCAUCUUAUCUCCCUUGGAUAAGCCAAAACAGUUUUAUAUCCUGUUGGAUAGCA
RNAcentral lists this long non-coding RNA (267 nucleotides) under Trifolium pratense (red clover). RNAcentral's name for it is "long non-coding RNA (TPRA_LNC005815)". Lineage: Eukaryota; Viridiplantae; Streptophyta; Magnoliopsida; Fabales; Fabaceae. The record is from RNAcentral.